RNAcentral lists this ribosomal RNA (274 nucleotides) under uncultured bacterium. RNAcentral's name for it is "partial 16S ribosomal RNA". It matches the Rfam family "Bacterial small subunit ribosomal RNA", at positions 523 to 796 of the family's 1533-position model. The record is from RNAcentral.
AUACGGAGGGAGCGAGCGUUAAUCGGAAUUACUGGGCGUAAAGCGCGCGUAGGCGGCAUUGUAAGUCGGAUGUGAAAGCCCUGGGCUUAACCUGGGAAUGGCAUUCGAUACUGCAGAGCUAGAGUAUGGUAGAGGGAAGUGGAAUUUCCGGUGUAGCGGUGAAAUGCGUAGAUAUCAGAAGGAACACCAGUGGCGAAGGCGACUUCCUGGGCCAAUACUGACGCUGAGGUGCGAAAGCGUGGGGAGCAAACAGGAUUAGAUACCCCGGUAGUCC